This 462-nucleotide ribosomal RNA is filed under the name uncultured bacterium. RNAcentral's name for it is "bacterial SSU rRNA". It matches the Rfam family "Bacterial small subunit ribosomal RNA", at positions 337 to 796 of the family's 1533-position model. The record is from RNAcentral.
GCCUACGGGGCGCAGCAGUAAGGAAUAUUGGACAAUGGGCGCAAGCCUGAUCCAGCCAUGCCGCGUGCAGGAUGACGCAUCUAUGGUGUGUAAACUGCUUUUGUACGAGAAGAAACACCAGUUCGUGAACUGGCUUGACGGUAUCGUAAGAAUAAGGAUCGGCUAACUCCGUGCCAGCAGCCGCGGUAAUACGGAGGAUCCAAGCGUUAUCCGGAAUCAUUGGGUUUAAAGGGUCCGUAGGCGGCCUUAUAAGUCAGUGGUGAAAUCUCCCCGCUCAACGGGGAAACGGCCAUUGAUACUGUAGGGCUUGAAUUAUUAGGAAGUAACUAGAAUAUGUAGUGUAGCGGUGAAAUGCUUAGAGAUUACAUGGAAUACCAAUUGCGAAGGCAGGUUACUACUAAUGGAUUGACGCUGAUGGACGAAAGCGUGGGUAGCGAACAGGAUUAGAUACCCGUGUAGUCC